This 429-nucleotide ribosomal RNA is filed under the name Acidobacteriota bacterium. RNAcentral describes it as "Acidobacteria bacterium partial 16S ribosomal RNA". It matches the Rfam family "Bacterial small subunit ribosomal RNA", at positions 355 to 776 of the family's 1533-position model. The record is from RNAcentral. Lineage: Bacteria; Pseudomonadati; Acidobacteriota.
UAGGGAAUCUUUGGCAAUGGACGAAAGUCUGACCGAGCAACGCCGCGUGAGUGAAGAAGGUUUUCGGAUCGUAAAACUCUGUUGUUAGAGAAGAACAAGGACGUUAGUAACUGAACGUCCCCUGACGGUAUCUAACCAGAAAGCCACGGCUAACUACGUGCCAGCAGCCGCGGUAAUACGUAGGUGGCAAGCGUUGUCCGGAUUUAUUGGGCGUAAAGCGAGCGCAGGCGGUUUCUUAAGUCUGAUGUGAAAGCCCCCGGCUCAACCGGGGAGGGUCAUUGGAAACUGGGGGACUUGAGUGCAGAAGAGGGGGGUGGAAUUCCAUGUGUAGCGGUGAAAUGCGUAGAUAUAUGGAGGAACACCAGUGGCGAAGGCGGCUCUCUGGUCUGUAACUGACGCUGAGGCUAGAGAGCGUGGGGAGCAAACAGG